UCGACCAUUAUGAUCCCUCUCUAAAAAAGAGGAGGCCUUAGCAGUCCGAAAGGAUCAGACGCCGCGACUCGAAACCAAAGGCGUCUCUCAUGCUAGUCUCAUACGUGAGGCCACACCUGUCAAAUUGCGGGGAGUAUCUUUCGCAGCCGCGACUACUUCUUGUUCGCUGGGAAACGGCGAGCAAUGCCCGGGGUAAUGACCUAGGGGACAGUAAAAACGUCACGGCUUUACGAUUAAUCCGCAGCCAAGUCCCGGAACGGGGAUGCAGUUCACAGACUCAAAUGGCGGUGGGUUGGAGUUUUUUCUCAUCUUAAGGUAUAGUCGAUGCUAAAAAAACGCUCCGUAGGUGAACCUGGGGAGGGAUCAUUAACACAAUCCCAAUAUCCUCCGGGAUAUUCGCCCCCUACGAACGUGUGUUUUCUUUUUUUUUCUUUCAUUUUAAGACCCCAUUGAACCCAUUCGGGCUGAGUUGAAUCAGAAAAACGCUGAAACAACUCUUAGCAACGGAUAUCUUGGUUCUCGCAUCGAUGAAGACGCAGC
RNAcentral lists this unclassified non-coding RNA (540 nucleotides) under plant metagenome. RNAcentral describes it as "partial contains internal transcribed spacer 1 and 5.8S ribosomal RNA". The stretch from base 493 to 540 matches the Rfam family "5.8S ribosomal RNA", at positions 1 to 49 of the family's 154-position model. The record is from RNAcentral.